GAGAGUAGGUCUCUCGCAGUCGAUUUACAGGAAUAGGCUGCAAACUACUGUAAGCGGCGAAUGUAAAGAGCCCUUGUCGUGAGCGUUACAGAAAAGGCGCUAAUAAGCGCCAGGU
Candidatus Amoebophilus sp. 36-38 is the source of this 115-nucleotide non-coding RNA. The record is from Rfam. Lineage: Bacteria; Pseudomonadati; Bacteroidota; Cytophagia; Cytophagales; Amoebophilaceae.